Molecule: long non-coding RNA, 147 nt
Organism: Gadus morhua (Atlantic cod)
Lineage: Eukaryota; Metazoa; Chordata; Actinopteri; Gadiformes; Gadidae
Exons: 3
Source: RefSeq, a predicted model, not a curated record
AGCGCGGCGAGCGGCUGGUCUGCCGCGAGGAGCUGAGUGUGCAGCAGACCCCAGACACCUUUUCAAUCAAGGAUGAAGAGGAUAUUUGUGGAGGCAGUCCUGCUGUAGGAGACGGCAAUGACAUCAGAGACUGCAGCACGCAGCGCG